GGGAGCGGAUGGGGCCCGGUGGCUCUCGCGGACUUCAAAUCCGUUGCCUUGGCGCCUUCGCGUUGAGGGGUGGGUUCGACUCCCUCGCGCUCCCGCCA
RNAcentral lists this transfer RNA (98 nucleotides) under Chloroflexota bacterium. RNAcentral's name for it is "Chloroflexi bacterium tRNA-Sec". It matches the Rfam family "Selenocysteine transfer RNA". The record is from RNAcentral. Lineage: Bacteria; Bacillati; Chloroflexota. RNAcentral also lists the same sequence under 1 other name.